GACGUAGGGUGUGAGCGUUGUCCGGAUUUAUUGGGCGUAAAGAGCUCGUAGGCGGCUCGUCGCGUCGACCGUGAAAACCCGCGGCUUAACUGCGGGCUUGCGGUUGAUACGGGCGGGCUAGAGUUCGGUAGGGGAGACUGGAAUUCCUGGUGUAGCGGUGAAAUGCGCAGAUAUCAGGAGGAACACCGGUGGCGAAGGCGGGUCUCUGGGCCGAUACUGACGCUGAGGAGCGAAAGCGUGGGGAGCGAACAGG
Molecule: ribosomal RNA, 253 nt
Filed under: uncultured bacterium
Lineage: Bacteria
Description: partial 16S ribosomal RNA
Rfam family: Bacterial small subunit ribosomal RNA
Source: RNAcentral